This 161-nucleotide unclassified non-coding RNA is filed under the name uncultured fungus. Its description in RNAcentral is "sequence contains ITS1, 5.8S rRNA gene". The record is from RNAcentral. Lineage: Eukaryota; Fungi.
CUGAGUGUUGACACGAAAGUGUUACCUCCCACCCUAUGUUUAAUAUGACCUGUUGCUUCGGCGAGCCGUCUUGCAAAAGACCGUCGACUUUAGUGGACGAGUGCUUGCCGAAGGUAUUAACUCUUAAAUUUUAUUGUCUGAGUAUAAAUUAAAACAAAUAA